RNAcentral lists this ribosomal RNA (513 nucleotides) under Paralamyctes cammooensis. RNAcentral describes it as "partial 16S ribosomal RNA". It matches the Rfam family "Bacterial large subunit ribosomal RNA", at positions 1816 to 2600 of the family's 2925-position model. The record is from RNAcentral. Lineage: Eukaryota; Metazoa; Arthropoda; Chilopoda; Lithobiomorpha; Henicopidae.
CGUUUUUUGGGUUAGGAAUUAAUUUUAUAAGAAAUAGUGUCUGCCCACUGAUAUUUAAAUGGCCGCGGUAUUUUGACCGUGCGAAGGUAGCAUAAUCAUUAGGCUAUUAAUUGUAGUCUGGUAUGAAUGGCGGGAUGAAUGGGAGCUGUUUCUAUUUUAAAGGUUGAAUUUUAGGUCUUUGUGAAGACGCGGAGAUGGACCUAAUAGACGAGAAGACCCUGUCAAGCUUGAUAUUUAUAUAAAUUUUUAAUGUCUUGGUUAAAUUUUUGUAAUAUUCUGUUGGGGCGACAGUGUUAUUUUAACUUACACUAUUUAGCAGGUGAUAUAUUUAGGUAUAUUUUUUUAUGACCCGUAUUUUACGAGUAGGAGACUAAGUUACUGCAGGGAUAACAGCGUAAUUUUUUCAGAGAGUUCUUAUUGAUGAAGAAGAUUGCGACCUCGAUGUUGAAUUAGGAUCCCUAAUAGGUGCAGCUGUUUAAUUAAGGUAGUCUGUUCGACUAUUAAUUUCCUACA